GUAGCUAAGUGCGGAAGAGAUAAGUGCUGAAAGCAUCUAAGCACGAAACUUGCCCCGAGAUGAGUUCUCCCUGACCCUUUAAGGGUCCUGAAGGGACGUUGAAGACGACGACGUUGAUAGGCCGGGUGUGUAAGCGCAGCGAUGCGUUGAGCUAACCGGUACUAAUGACCCGUGAGGCUUAACCUU
RNAcentral lists this ribosomal RNA (186 nucleotides) under Pantoea dispersa. Its description in RNAcentral is "partial 23S ribosomal RNA". It matches the Rfam family "Bacterial large subunit ribosomal RNA", at positions 2745 to 2925 of the family's 2925-position model. The record is from RNAcentral. Lineage: Bacteria; Pseudomonadati; Pseudomonadota; Gammaproteobacteria; Enterobacterales; Erwiniaceae.